UCGCGGCUUAUCACCGGCAGUCCCCUUAGAGUGCCCAACUUAAUGAUGGCAACUAAGGGCGAGGGUUGCGCUCGUUGCGGGACUUAACCCAACAUCUCACGACACGAGCUGACGACAGCCAUGCAGCACCUGUGUUCCCGCCAGCCGAACUGAAGAACUCCAUCUCUGGUGUUCAUACGGGACAUGUCAAAGGCUGGUAAGGUUCUGCGCGUUGCUUCGAAUUGAACCACAUGCUCCACCGCUUGUGCGGGCCCCCGUCAAUUCCUUUGAGUUUCAACCUUGCGGUCGUACUCCCCAGGCGGGGUACUUCCUGCGUUAGCGCCGGCACCCAGAGGGUCAAUACCCCGGACACCUAGUGCCCAUCGUUUACAGCGUGGACUAC
This 382-nucleotide unclassified non-coding RNA is filed under the name uncultured Pseudomonadota bacterium. RNAcentral describes it as "uncultured proteobacterium contains 16S-23S intergenic spacer region". The record is from RNAcentral. Lineage: Bacteria; Pseudomonadati; Pseudomonadota.